GUGAGUAACACGUGGGUAACCUGCCCAUCAGAAGGGGAUAACACUUGGAAACAGGUGCUAAUACCGUAUAACAAUCAAAACCGCAUGGUUUUGAUUUGAAAGGCGCUUUCGGGUGUCGCUGAUGGAUGGACCCGCGGUGCAUUAGCUAGUUGGUGAGGUAACGGCUCACCAAGGCCACGAUGCAUAGCCGACCUGAGAGGGUGAUCGGCCACAUUGGGACUGAGACACGGCCCAAACUCCUACGGGAGGCAGCAGUAGGGAAUCUUCGGCAAUGGACGAAAGUCUGACCGAGCAACGCCGCGUGAGUGAAGAAGGUUUUCGGAUCGUAAAACUCUGUUGUUAGAGAAGAACAAGGAUGAGAGUAACUGUUCAUCCCUUGACGGUAUCUAACCAGAAAGCCACGGCUAACUACGUGCCAGCAGCCGCGGUAAUACGUAGGUGGCAAGCGUUGUCCGGAUUUAUUGGGCGUAAAGCGAGCGCAGGCGGUUUCUUAAGUCUGAUGUGAAAGCCCCCGGCUCAACCGGGGAGGGUCAUUGGAAACUGGGAGACUUGAGUGCAGAAGAGGAGAGUGGAAUUCCAUGUGUAGCGGUGAAAUGCGUAGAUAUAUGGAGGAACACCAGUGGCGAAGGCGGCUCUCUGGUCUGUAACUGACGCUGANGCUCGAAAGCGUGGGGAGCAAACAGGAUUAGAUACCCUGGUAGUCCACGCCGUAAACGAUGAGUGCUAAGUGUUGGAGGGUUUCCGCCCUUCAGUGCUGCAGCUAACGCAUUAAGCACUCCGCCUGGGGAGUACGACCGCA
This 799-nucleotide ribosomal RNA is filed under the name Enterococcus faecium. RNAcentral describes it as "bacterial SSU rRNA". It matches the Rfam family "Bacterial small subunit ribosomal RNA", at positions 106 to 890 of the family's 1533-position model. The record is from RNAcentral. Lineage: Bacteria; Bacillati; Bacillota; Bacilli; Lactobacillales; Enterococcaceae.